This 505-nucleotide ribosomal RNA is filed under the name uncultured bacterium. RNAcentral describes it as "bacterial SSU rRNA". It matches the Rfam family "Bacterial small subunit ribosomal RNA", at positions 30 to 526 of the family's 1533-position model. The record is from RNAcentral.
AUUGAACGCUGGCGGAAUGCUUUACACAUGCAAGUCGAACGGCAGCACGGGGGCAACCUUGGUGGCGAGUGGCGAACGGGUGAGUAACACAUCGAAACGUACCCAGUCGUGGGGGAUAACGUAGCGAAAGCUACGCUAAUACCGCAUACGAUCUAUGGAUGAAAGCGGGGGACCUGUAAGGGCCUCGCGCGAUUGGAGCGGUCGAUGGCAGAUUAGGUAGUUGGUGGGGUAAAGGCUCACCAAGCCGACGAUCUGUAGCUGGUCUGAGAGGACGACCAGCCACACUGGAACUGAGACACGGUCCAGACUCCUACGGGAGGCAGCAGUGGGGAAUUUUGGACAAUGGACGCAAGUCUGAUCCAGCCAUUCCGCGUGCAGGACGAAGGCCUUCGGGUUGUAAACUGCUUUUGUACAGAACGAAAAGGUCUUUAUUAAUACUAGGGGCUCAUGACGGUACUGUAAGAAUAAGCACCGGCUAACUACGUGCCAGCCGCCGCCGUAACAC